This 253-nucleotide ribosomal RNA is filed under the name uncultured bacterium. RNAcentral's name for it is "partial 16S ribosomal RNA". It matches the Rfam family "Bacterial small subunit ribosomal RNA", at positions 524 to 776 of the family's 1533-position model. The record is from RNAcentral.
UACGGAGGGUGCGAGCGUUUUUCGGAAUCACUGGGCGUAAAGGGCGUGUAGGCGGUCCGUUAUGUCUGAUGUGAAAGCCCGGGGCUCACCCCCGGAAGUGCAUUGGAAACUGACGGACUCGAGUCCCGGAGAGGAGGGUGGAAUUCCUGGUGUAGCGGUGAAAUGCGUAGAUAUCAGGAGGAACACCGGUGGCGAAGGCGGCCCUCUGGACGGUGACUGACGCUAAGACGCGAAAGCGUGGGGAGCAAACAGG